Zea mays is the source of this 3378-nucleotide RNA transcript. It is a transcript of the gene named lysine-specific demethylase JMJ30, with no coding region annotated. Lineage: Eukaryota; Viridiplantae; Streptophyta; Magnoliopsida; Poales; Poaceae. The transcript is spliced from 7 exons. The record is from RefSeq and is a predicted model, not a curated record.
CCACGCCGGCUCUCGCUUCGUAGCCGUUGGCAGUGGCAGCCGGCACCCAAAAUAUCUUGGCGCAAAAAUAUCUCACCCGCAGCAGCGACGGCACGGGCCGUAAAUAAUAUCUCUCGAGCACGGGCGGGGGCCGCCUGCCUGCACGCGCCUUUCUCACUCGCUCGCUCGGGACGUCGGGUGCAGUCCGUGCGCCCCGCACCGCUUUUCGAUUCGGUUCCGCAGCGGCCGGCCGGCCGGCCGAGCAAUGGCCACCGGCGGGGACAAGCGGGCGGCGCUGCUGCGGCAGAUAACGGAGGAGGGCGGGUUCGCGUUCGUGGCCUCCGCCGAGAAGGCGGCCGCGGGGGACCUCCGCGCCGCCGAGGCGGCGCGGGAGAUGGCGUGGGAGCAGCUGCACUCGGCGCCCCGCGCCGAGGUCGGCGCCGCGUGGCGGGACGCCUACGCGCUCGCCUGCCUCCACGUCGCCGGCCUCCGCGCCGCCGUCGGCGACCGCCGCGCGGCGCUCCGCGCGCUCGACAUGGGCCUCAUCAUGGGCGGCGACCUCCUACGCGCCGAGCUCGACGCCGCCGUCGCGGGGCUCGGCCACGGCGACGCGGGCGCAGGCGCGGGCGCCGAUGGAGAUGUGCAGAGGUGGGAGGAAGGGAUCGCGGGCGGCCGAGACCUCGCCGAUGUACUUCAACUUCUACCAGUGAAUUCCCUAUCUUGUAAGCAAAUUGAGAGGCGAUCAUGCAUUUCUUUGGAGGCAUUUAUACGUGAUUACUUUUUAUGUGAGUCCCCUGUUAUACUCAGUGGAUGCAUUGAUCAUUGGCCUGCAAGGAAAAAGUGGAAGGACAUAAAGUACCUAGAGAGUGUAGCUGGAGAUCGGACUAUUCCUGUUCAGGUUGGAAAAAAUUAUGCAUGUACUGAGUUGAAACAGGAGCUUAUCACAUUUUCUCAAUUUCUUGAGAGGAUGUGGUCAAGUGAUUCUGCAAACUUGGCAUAUAUUGCGCAGCAUCAAUUGUUUGACCAGAUAAAGGAGCUCCACGAAGAUAUUGCUGUUCCUGAGUACUGUUCAGCUGGUGGUGGCAAACUCCAGUCACUUAAUGCUUGGUUCGGCCCUCAUGGGACAAUAACUCCUUUGCAUCAUGACCCACAUCACAACCUUUUUGCUCAGGUUUUGGGAAGGAAGUAUGUUAGACUCUAUCCUGCUUCUACAUCUGUGGGCCUAUACCCUAACACAGAAAGCAUGCUAAGCAAUACUAGUGAGAUUUUCUCCUGGACGCCCUGAUCAACCCUAUCAUUCACGUUCAACUUUUGCUUCGUUACAAUCCAAAUCCAUUCCGUAGCGUGUUGUGAUCCUGAAGCUGCUCUCUGCACCGCCCAAUAAGGUAGACCUCGACAACACUGACGGAAAAGAGUACCCGGAGACUGCAGCUCUUGAGUUCGUGGACUGCGUAUUGGAGGAAGGUGACCUGCUUUACAUUCCCCCGAAAUGGUGGCGUUACGUGAGAUCUCUCUCUAUUAGCUUUUCUGUUAGCUUUCGGUGGCGAACAUCACAGCUUCCUUGAGGGGAGGUUCAUAACGAUGGUUUUGACAAAUUUGAUCGUACGUCCACGAUGUCGUUCCAAUCAUCCUAUUGGUAGAGACUUAAUAAGAAGACUUCAUUGAGCUGAGCCCAUAUUUCGUGGUCUAAGUGUUGUGUGCGGUCGCCUCACUAGACUGGGAUUGUAAAUUGUUUUCACGACAAUGAUUGGUUUCAAACAUACUAAGCGGUACUAUCAGGUACUAGUGUGGCCGUUUUAUAUUGUGAACUGAUUCUGCAGUAUGGCCUAACUGUGUUCACCGAUUGAUAUUUUUUCUUUUCCUUUUCUUUUUCCUGAGUCAAAGGGAGCACGUUCAAAUGUAACUUUGAGGGCGGGCCAGCAUGUGAGAUAAGUGGCCGUCACGACGCCGGAUAACGGAGACGGCGUCUUUGCCGAGUGUUCUAAGUGACAUUCGGCAAACAAUUAACUUUGCCACAGCCCGCACUCGGCAAAGGGUCUACCAGCGGGGCCCUUUGUCAGCUUCUUUGUCGAGUGCUAUAGGAGGCAAUCGGCAAAGCUUGAACACAGCUUCCUUGAGAGGGGAAGUUCAUAACGAUGGUUUUGACAAAUUUGAUCGUACGUCCACGAUGUUCCAAUCAUCCCAUUGGUAGAGACUUAAUAAGAAGACUUCAUUGAGCUGAGCCCAUGUUUUGUGGUCACUAGACUGGGAUUGUAAAUUGUUUUCACGACAAUGAUUGGUUUCAAACAUACUAAGCGGUACUAUCAGGUACUAGUGUGGCCGUUUUAUAUUGUGAACUGAUUCUGCAGUAUGGCCUAACUGUGUUCACCGAUUGAUAUUUUUUCUUUUCCUUUUCUUUUUCCUGAGUCAAAGGGAGCACGUUCAAAUGUAACUUUGAGGGCGGGCCAGCAUGUGAGAUAAGUGGCCGUCACGACGCCGGAUAACGGAGACGGCGUCUUUGCCGAGUGUUCUAAGUGACAUUCGGCAAACAAUUAACUUUGCCACAGCCCGCACUCGGCAAAGGGUCUACCAGCGGGGCCCUUUGUCAGCUUCUUUGUCGAGUGCUAUAGGAGGCAAUCGGCAAAGCUUGAACACAGCUUCCUUGAGAGGGGAAGUUCAUAACGAUGGUUUUGACAAAUUUGAUCGUACGUCCACGAUGUUCCAAUCAUCCCAUUGGUAGAGACUUAAUAAGAAGACUUCAUUGAGCUGAGCCCAUGUUUUGUGGUCACUAGACUGGGAUUGUAAAUUGUUUUCACGACAAUGAUUGGUUUCAAACAUACUAAGCGGUACUAUCAGGUACUAGUGUGGCCGUUUUAUAUUGUGAACUGAUUCUGCAGUAUGGCCUAACUGUGUUCACCGAUUGAUAUUUUUUCUUUUCCUUUUCUUUUUCCUGAGUCAAAGGGAGCACGUUCAAAUGUAACUUUGAGGGCGGGCCAGCAUGUGAGAUAAGUGGCCGUCACGACGCCGGAUAACGGAGACGGCGUCUUUGCCGAGUGUUCUAAGUGACAUUCGGCAAACAAUUAACUUUGCCACAGCCCGCACUCGGCAAAGGGUCUACCAGCGGGGCCCUUUGUCAGCUUCUUUGUCGAGUGCUAUAGGAGGCAAUCGGCAAAGCUUGAACACAGCUUCCUUGAGAGGGGAAGUUCAUAACGAUGGUUUUGACAAAUUUGAUCGUACGUCCACGAUGUUCCAAUCAUCCCAUUGGUAGAGACUUAAUAAGAAGACUUCAUUGAGCUGAGCCCAUGUUUUGUGGUCACUAGACUGGGAUUGUAAAUUGUUUUCACGACAAUGAUUGGUUUCAAACAUACUAAGCGGUACUAUCAGGUACUAGUGUGGCCGUUUUAUAUUGUGAACUGAUUC